GAGUGCUUGCUUUGGCCACUCAUAUACUAAAUUGGAAUGAUACAGAGAAGAUUAGCAUGGUCCCUGUGCAAGGAUGGCAUACAAAUUCAUGUAGUGUUCCACAUGUUU
Small nuclear RNA from Tupaia belangeri (northern tree shrew), 108 nucleotides. The record is from Ensembl. Lineage: Eukaryota; Metazoa; Chordata; Mammalia; Scandentia; Tupaiidae.